UACGUAGGGGGCAAGCGUUGUCCGGAUUUAUUGGGCGUAAAGAGCGUGUAGGCGGCCAGACAAGUCUGCUGUGAAAACUCGAGGCUCAACCUCGAGCUGUCGGUGGAAACUGUCUGGCUAGAGUCCGGAAGAGGAGAGUGGAAUUCCUGGUGUAGCGGUGAAAUGCGCAGAUAUCAGGAAGAACACCUAUGGCGAAGGCAGCUCUCUGGGACGGUACUGACGCUGAUGCGCGAAAGCUAGGGGAGCGAACGGG
RNAcentral lists this ribosomal RNA (253 nucleotides) under uncultured bacterium. Its description in RNAcentral is "partial 16S ribosomal RNA". It matches the Rfam family "Bacterial small subunit ribosomal RNA", at positions 524 to 776 of the family's 1533-position model. The record is from RNAcentral.